UGAAUUUCGGGAUCAAGGGGCUGGUCAUGCCACUGGUAUGUACUUACGUUCAAGCGUGAUCCUUCUAAAGAACCAUGAUGUCAUUCAUUUGAUGUUAUGGGGAAUUAGGACUGUUACCUUGAAAAAAUUAGAGUGUUUAAAGCAAGCUUACGCUUGAAUACAUUAGCAUGGAAUAAUGAAAUAGGACAUCAGAUUCUAUUUUGUUGGUUUCUAGGAUCGAUGUAAUGAUUAAUAGGGAUAGUUGGGGGCAUUAGUAUUCAAUUGUCAGAGGUGAAAUUCUUGGAUUUAUUGAAGACUAACUACUGCGAAAGCAUUUGCCAAGGAUGUUUUCAUUAAUCAAGAACGAAAGUUAGGGGAUCGAAGACGAUCAGAUACC
RNAcentral lists this ribosomal RNA (376 nucleotides) under uncultured Glomus. RNAcentral's name for it is "SSU rRNA". It matches the Rfam family "Eukaryotic small subunit ribosomal RNA", at positions 635 to 1016 of the family's 1831-position model. The record is from RNAcentral. Lineage: Eukaryota; Fungi; Glomeromycota; Glomeromycetes; Glomerales; Glomeraceae.